AACGGGUGAGUAACGCGUGGGUAAUCUACCCUGGAGUUGGGAAUAACAUCUCGAAAGGGGUGCUAAUACCUAAUAAAAUCUUCUCCGGUAAAGAGGUGCUCAAGGAUGAGCCCGCGUACCAUUAGCUAGUUGGCGGGGUAAUGGCCCACCAAGGCAAUGAUGGUUAGCUGGUCUGAGAGGAUGGCCAUUCACACUGGAACUGAGAUACGGUCCAGACUCCUACGGGAGGCAGCAGUGAGGAAUCUUGCGCAAUGGGGGAAACCCUGACGCAGCAACGCCGCCUGAGUGAUGAAGGCCUUCGGGUCGUAAAGCUCUGUCAGAUGGGAAGAAUGACGGUACCGUUAAAGGAAGCACCGGCUAACUCCGUGCCAGCAGCCGCGGUAAUACGGAGGGUGCAAGCGUUGUUCGGAAUUAUUGGGCGUAAAGAGCGUGUAGGCGGCCAAGUAAGUCAGAUGUGA
Molecule: ribosomal RNA, 458 nt
Filed under: uncultured soil bacterium
Lineage: Bacteria
Description: bacterial SSU rRNA
Rfam family: Bacterial small subunit ribosomal RNA
Source: RNAcentral